CCUACGGGUGGCAGCAGUGAGGAAUAUUGGUCAAUGGGCGCGAGCCUGAACCAGCCAAGUAGCGUGAAGGAUGACUGCCCUACGGGUUGUACACUUCUUUUAUAAAGGAAUAAAGUGAGGCACGUGUGCCUUUUUGUAUGUACUUUAUGAACAAGGAUCGGCUAACUCCGUGCCAGCAGCCGCGGUAAUACGGAGGAUCCGAGCGUUAUCCGGAUUUAUUGGGUUUAAAGUGCGCGUAGAUGGGUUGUUAAGUCAGUUGUGAAAGUUUGCGGCUCAACCGUAAAAUUGCAAUUGAUACUGGCAGUCUUGAGUACAGUUGAGGUAAGCGGAAUUCGUGGUGUAGCAGUGAAAUGCUUAGAUAUCACGAAGAACACCGAUUGCGAAGGCAGCUUACUAGACUGCCACUGACAUUGAGGCUCGAAAGUGUGGGUAUCAAACAGGAUUAGAUACCCCAGUAGUC
RNAcentral lists this ribosomal RNA (460 nucleotides) under uncultured bacterium. RNAcentral describes it as "partial 16S ribosomal RNA". It matches the Rfam family "Bacterial small subunit ribosomal RNA", at positions 338 to 795 of the family's 1533-position model. The record is from RNAcentral.